UACGGAGGAGGCAAGCGUUAUCCGGAAUUAUUGGGCGUAAAGCGUCCGUAGGUGGCGUGUCAAGUCUGCGGUCAAAGACUGGGGCUUAACCCUGGAAAGGCCGUGGAGACUGACGAGCUAGAGUGCAGUAGGGGUAGAGGGAAUUCCCGGUGUAGCGGUGAAAUGCGUAGAGCUCGGGAAGAACAUCGGUGGCGAAAGCGCUCUACUGGACUGCAACUGACACUCAGGGACGAAAGCUAGGGGAGCGAAUGGG
RNAcentral lists this ribosomal RNA (253 nucleotides) under uncultured bacterium. RNAcentral describes it as "partial 16S ribosomal RNA". It matches the Rfam family "Bacterial small subunit ribosomal RNA", at positions 524 to 776 of the family's 1533-position model. The record is from RNAcentral.